GUCAGAAUGGCCGAGCGGUCUAAGAGGCGCCAGAUUUUGAAGUUCUGGUUCUCGAAAGAGAGUGUGGGUUCGAACCCCACUUCUGAUA
This is a non-coding RNA of Caerostris extrusa, 88 nucleotides long. Lineage: Eukaryota; Metazoa; Arthropoda; Arachnida; Araneae; Araneidae. The record is from the annotation of a GenBank genome assembly.